This 253-nucleotide ribosomal RNA is filed under the name uncultured bacterium. Its description in RNAcentral is "partial 16S ribosomal RNA". It matches the Rfam family "Bacterial small subunit ribosomal RNA", at positions 524 to 776 of the family's 1533-position model. The record is from RNAcentral. RNAcentral also lists the same sequence under 1 other name.
UACGGAGGGUGCAAGCGUUAUCCGGAUUCACUGGGUUUAAAGGGUGCGUAGGUGGGCUUGUAAGUCAGCGGUGAAAUCUCCGGGCUUAACCCGGAAACUGCCAUUGAUACUAUAAGUCUUGAAUUAUCUGGAGGUAAGCGGAAUAUGUCAUGUAGCGGUGAAAUGCUUAGAUAUGACAUAGAACACCAAUUGCGAAGGCAGCUUACUACGGAUCGAUUGACACUGAGGCACGAAAGCGUGGGGAUCAAACAGG